GUUGGUGUCCUCGGGACCGCAAUUUGGAUUGGCGGACUUGCCAACCAGCUCAACUACUCUCGAAGCGAUUUGCCUGAGAAGUUGGAUUUUAAGGACUCCGGCUCUGCUUUCGCGGGACCGUUCGUGUUGUAUUUUAGUUUCGGGUUGCUUGAUGCCAUGUUCCAGAGUAUGGUUUUCUGGGUCAUUGGAGCCUUGGCUGAUAACUCUGAAAUUCUAAGCAGGUAAUGUUGGUAUAUGGUCCAGCCCAUGAUCAAUGUUCUAGAUUAUUCUAGUAAGCAAGAGAUGAGGCUGGAGCUUGCUAGACAAUUCUAGCAUGUUAUUAAGUUGAUGGAAGAAGCUAGAGAGUACUAGCUUCCUUGGUUGCAAAUGGAAAGAUCUAGAAGCUACAAGUAUGUGGCUAGUCUAGAUUUUUCUAUACUAGAGGUUUGAAGAAGGAACUAGAAACUAGUAGAAUGCCAAGCCCUCACCUAUAAAUAUGGGUGUGAUGUAACCAAUUGAGAACGAAGAGUGAGUAGCAAAGGAUCAAGUCCAAAGCUAGAGUUCCACUCCAAGAGUGAGAGUGAGAGUGUUCCACUACACAUUGUGUGAGUGAAGUUUAGAGUGAUAGAAAGUGUGUGUUAUACUUUCUUGUAUCCAUCAAGCCUUGUCUUUGGCUUGGUAAGACUACUCUUGUUGUAUUCAUCUUCCUUGUUUGGUGGACGUAGGCAUAAAUUGCCGAACCACAUAAAUUCUUGGCGUCCAUUUUCUACUUUACCUUGUGCAUUCUCUAUCUUGUAGUACCGACAUUCCUAACAAGUGGUAUCAAAGCCCGGUUGGCUCGUACUACGAGAUGGAAGGAAGUGGCACUAUGAUCAAACUCACCAACUCCAAUUGGGUAACAUGGAAGCCAAGGAUGGAGGACAUUCUCUAUUGCAAGGAUUUGCAUGAGCCAAUUGAAGGAGAUGCCGCUAAGCCCGAGAGCAUGUCCGAUGCUGAGUGGAAGAAGAUGAAUCGCAAGGCUAUUGGCACAAUUAGACAAUGGGUGGACGAUAGUGUUUUUCACCAUGUGUCUAAUGAAACCAAUGCUCGCGAGUUUUGGACGAAGCUUGAGUCCUUGUUCGAGAAGAAGACCCCAGCCAAGAAAGCCUUAUUGAUCAAAGAGCUCAUCAAUGUGAAGUACAAGGAUGGUUUAAGUGUAGCAGAACACUUGAACAAUUUCCAGAAUAUCAUCAACCAGUUGGCUACUAUGAAAAAUGACGAUCGAGGACGAGCUACAAGCGCUCUUGUUACUUGGAUCCUUGCCAGACAGUUGGGAGACCUUUGUGGUGAGUAUAAGUAACUCUGCUUCUAAUGGUGUUCUUACUCUUGAUAAUGUUAAAAAUAGCAUGCUCAAUGAAGAAACAAGGAGAAAGACUUCUGGCACAGAUAGCAGCCAAGUAUUUGUCACAGAGAACCGCGGAAGAAGCAAGAGUAGAGGGCCUAGAGGUCAUGGCAGGAGUCCUAGCCGAUCCAAGUCAAAGUUCAGGGGUGCAUGCCACCACUGUGGCAAAGAAGGCCAUAUGAAGAAAAAUUGUCGAGUUUGGAAGAGAGAGCAAAGGGAAGGAAACAAUCAGAAGAAAGAUGAUACUGGCAAUACCACCGCUGUCAUCUGUGGUGAUGUACCAGAAAUAUUUGUCUGUUGGUGAAUGUCUGCAUAUGGGCAACUCUGACAGAGACAUUGAAUGGAUUUUUGAUAAUGGAGCUUCCUUCCAUGCUACGUCCAAACGGGAGUUCUUCAGUACAUACAAAGAAGGUGACUUUGGCAUAGUGAAGAUGGGGAAUGAAAGCUAUUCCAAAAUUCUUGGAAUUGGUGAUAUCUGCUUAAGAACUAAUCUCGGCUGCCAAUUGAUGUUGAAAGAUGUGAGACAUAUUCCUGAUAUACGUCUCAAUCUGAUAUCCAUCGGUACCCUUGAUCGAUAAGGAUAUUAUCACCAUAUUGGCGAAGGAAAAUUGAAGCUUACUAAAGGCUUAAUGGUGGUAGCAAGAGCACGACUUUGUUGUACGUUGUACCGGUCAAAUGCCAAGGUUUUGAAAGGUGAGUUAAAUGCUGUGGAGGACUCAUCUCUAGACUUAUGGCAUAAGAGGCUAGGCCACAUAAGCGAGAAAGGCCUACAAGUUUUGGCAAAGAAGUCUCACAUUCCCUUUGCCAAAGGUACGUCGUUAAACUCUUGUGAGCAUUGUUUAUUCGGAAAAACAAAGAAGAGUUAGUUUUUUCUGUUCCAUCUACAAAGAAAGGAAACUUGUUAGAUCUUGUUUAUUCAGAUGUGGUGUGGUCCCAUGGAAGUCGAGUCACUUGGAAGAAAUAAAUAUUUUGUUACUUAUAUUGAUGAUGUUUCACGAAGGGUGUGGGUGUAUUUGUUGAAAUCCAAAGACCAGGUGUUUCAGACAUUCCAGGAGUUCCAUGCCAUGGUGGAGAGGGAAACUGGGAAACCUCUCAAGUGCCUUCGUAGCGACAACGGCGGCGAAUACACAUCUCACCAGUUUAGAGAGUAUUGUGUAAAACAUGGCAUACGUCAUGAGAAGACAGUUUCCUGGAACUCCACAACAUAACGGUGUUGCUGAAAGAAUGAACCGAACCAUCAUGGAGAAAGUCAGGUGUAUGUUGAGGACUGCAAAGUUAUCUAAGCAGUUCUGGGGUGAAGCUGUAAGGACAGCCCUGCUAUUUGAUCAACCGAUCUCCAUCAGUACCAUUAGGUCUUGAUGUUCCAGAGAGAGUAUGGACUGGUAAUGAUGUGUCUUACUCUCAUCUGAAGGUGUUUGGUUGCAAAGCUUUUGUGCAUGUGCCCAAAGAGCAGAGAUCGAAAGUUAGACUACAAAGCUACACCGUGCAUCUUUCUUGGUUAUGGCGGUGAAGAUUUUGGUUACAGAUUAUGGGACCCAUACCAGAAGAAGUUUAUCCGAAGUAGAGACGUGGUCUUUUUAUGAAGAUCAAACAAAUUGGGGAUUCGGAUAAAGAGGCACAACCAGAUGGCGCAGUCAGAGGAGUUGAUCCAUUAGCUUCAGAUGAAGAAAGUCACGAUGACAUCCCCUGAAGCAACUGCCAAUGAAGUGCCUGCAGAAUCAGAUAAUGCUAAUCAAGAGGAGCCUGAUCAAGAAUGUGCCAGACCAUGAGAUUGCUGAUCAGGGGGAGCCUAGUCAAGAAGAGCAGAUUCAAGGAGAACCCAAUCAGGGGGAGCCUCCAGCCCUACAAGAGAAUGAAGAUCAGGUCAGAAAGAUCCAUCAGAAGUCGAAGACCGUCUACCAAGUAUUCUUCAUCAGAGUAUAUCAUGUUGACUAAUUAUGGAGAGCCCGAAACAUAUGAGGAGGCCAGAGCUCAUAACGACAGUGACAAAUGGAUGAAGGCAAUGGAGUCGGAGAUGGAUUCCUUAUCAAAGAAUGAUACCUAUGAGCUGGUGGAGCUUCCAAAGGGCAGGAAAGCAUUGAAAAACAAGUGGGUGUUCAAAUUGAAAAGAGACGACAACAUGACAAGGUACAAGGCUCGUUUGGUUGUCAAAGGUUUUGGUCAAAAGAAAGGAGUUGACUUUGAUGAGAUUUUCUCACCGGUGGUGAAGAUGACUUCCAUUCGAGUUAUCCUUGGUAUGGCAGCAAGCAUGGAUCUUGAGCUCGAGCAGUUAGAUGUUAAAACUGCAUUUUCUCCACGGCAAUUUAGAAGAGGAGAUAUACAUGGAGCAACCCAAAGGCUUUGAAGUCAAAGGUAAAGAAAAUUUUGGUGUGCAAGCUCAAAGAAAAGUUUAUAUGGUCUUAAGCAGGCUCCGAGACAGUGGAAUAAGAAGUUCAACUCAUUCAUGGUGAGUAAUGGGUACAAGAGAACUCAUGCUGACUCUUGUGUCUAUAUCAAACAAUUUUCUGGAGGUACAUUCAUCAUCUUAUUGCUUUAUGUUGAUGACAUGUUGAUUGUCGGACAAGAUGCUUCUAUGAUUAAAAAGCUCAAAGAAGAGUUAUCUAAGUCCUUUGACAUGAAGGACUUAGGGCCAGCCAAGCAGAUUUUGGGCAUGGAGAUAAUUCGUGACAGAAAAUCCAAGAAGUUGUGGCUGUCACAAGAAAAGUAUGUUGAACGGGUGCUUGAAAGGUUCAACAUGAAAGCAGCCAAACCGGUAAGCUCACCUUUAGCCAAUUAUAUCAAGUUGAGCAAAGAGUCGUGUCCAAAAACAUAUGAAGAAAAGGAGAAAAUGGCAGUUGUUCCCUACUCUUCAGCAGUAGGAAGUAUCAUGUAUGCAAUGGUGUGCACACGACCAGAUAUUGCUCAUGCAGUAGGUGUGGUGAGCAGGUUUCUCUCUAAUCCAGGGAAGGACCACUGGGAAGCCGUUAAGUGGAUUCUCAGAUAUUUGAAGGGGACUUCUAAGAUGUGCUUGUGCUUUGGCGGUUCCAAACCAAUCUUGGAAGGAUUUACAGAUGCUGACAUGGGAGGUGACCUGGAUGGUAGAAAAUCUACGUCUGGGUACUUGUUUACUUUUGCAGGGGGAGCCGUGUCUUGGCAAUCCAAGUUACAAAAGUGCAUUGCUUUGUCCACAACCGAGGCUGAAUACAUAGCCGCUACAGAAGCAUGCAAGGAGUUGUUGUGGCUGAAGCGGUUUCUCCAAGAGUUGGGUUUGAAGCAAAGUGAUUAUGGCGUUUAUUGUGAUAGUCAGAGUGCUCUGGAUUUGAGCAAGAACACUACAUAUCAUUCACGCACUAAGCACAUUGAUAUUCGUUAUCACUGGAUUAGAGACGCUAUCGAGAACAAGUUGCUACAGCUGAAGAAGAUUCAUACCGAUAAUAAUUCUUCAGACAUGUUGACAAAGGUAGUCACAAAAUCAAAGUUGGAAUUUUGCAUUAAGGCUGCUGGGAUGAACUCCAGGUAACUUGGAGUCAUGAUCGGAAUUCCUCCCUCAUGGACUGGAGGGGGAGAUUGUUGGUAUAUGGUCCAGCCCAUGAUCAAUGUUCUAGAUUUAUUCUAGUAAGCAAGAGAUGAGGCUGGAGCUUGCUAGACAAUUCUAGCAUGUUAUUAAGUUGAUGGAAGAAGCUAGAGAGUACUAGCUUCCUUGGUUGCAAAUGGAAAGAUCUAGAAGCUACAAGUAUGUGGCUAGUCUAGAUUUUUCUAUACUAGAGGUUUGAAGAAGGAACUAGAAACUAGUAGAAUGCCAAGCCCUCACCUAUAAAUAUGGGUGUGAUGUAACCAAUUGAGAACGAAGAGUGAGUAGCAAAGGAUCAAGUCCAAAGCUAGAGUUCCACUCCAAGAGUGAGAGUGAGAGUGUUCCACUACACAUUGUGUGAGUGAAGUUUAGAGUGAUAGAAAGUGUGUGUUAUACUUUCUUGUAUCCAUCAAGCCUUGUCUUUGGCUUGGUAAGACUACUCUUGUUGUAUUCAUCUUUUUCAUAUAGUGAAGAUUCCUUGUUUGGUGGACGUAGGCAUAAAUUGCCGAACCACAUAAAUUCUUGGCGUCCAUUUUCUACUUUACCUUGUGCAUUCUCUAUCUUGUAGUACCGACAUUCCUAACAGGUAACAGGAUAUUCCUUGCUUCUCAAGUUUUUAAUCUCUCAAUGAUCUUUGUGCGUUUAGACAAUUUUUCGUGCGCUGGACUGGACAAUCCAAUCCAAUCCUGUGCCCGAAAUGUGGCUUUAGUGACAGUCGCAGAACGAAGUGUGAUGCUAAAACUUAUUUUAUUUUGUGCAUGUUUUGUACAGGUAUGCUGGAUUCUACAAGGGAAUACAGAGUGCAGGGGCAGCAGUAGAUUGGCAAAUCGAUACGUGCAAGGCAUCCUUCCUCUCCCAAUUGGUUACGAAUUUCGCGCUUUACACCGUGAGUUAUCCGCUGCUGGUGGUUCUGAUCUUGCUGGCCGUGAAGGAUGAAGGUGAGGCUGAUGUGGAGGAAUUUACCAAGCGGAAGGUUGCUGAAUUAGCUGAUGAAAUUAGUCAUAAGCCAUCCGAAUAUUUGUCUUAAUUACGUCCAUACAAUCGAAUCUUCACGAAUUAGUGUAAGGGAAAUUCUAGUGUAAUUGAUGUAGCACGUUCAAAUUGUCAAGUAUUUUACGGGGUAAUCAGAGUUCAUGUUUUGAUAAAAUAUCUGAAUGAUUAGUUCUUGAUCACGAUUGUCCAUUAUAGUCAUGCAUGCUUGGAAGGAAAUGCUAGUGUAAUUGAUGUAGCACGCUCAAAUAAUCCUGCUGGCAUGAUAUCUCAAGCCUUAAGUAUCUACAAAAGCUUGGUUAACAAUCCUUCCACCCUUGGAUCAACUGGAGGCACGCACAGUGAUGAUGCUUCCUCAGAAGGAUCUGAUCACAGUUUUCGAAUGAUCGAGGAGGCAAAGAAUCAAGAUAAUGCAAACGAAUCAGGGUUUUCGCUUCAGAACCGCAAGAAAGAAGCAUAGAGUUUGACUUCUCUCAGUUGUUUGCCAAUUCAACCAGUUACUGGGUUCUUUCACACCAGACAUUUUUCUUGUAGGAUGCUUCGUUGUUGUUUUAGCCGGAAGGUAGAAUAUGAGUUGUGUGAUUAACUAAAAGGGUGUCUAAAUGUUUGCAAUGAUAUUAAUGACAGAUGCCAAAUCAUAUAAAGGAACUGAAAUUUUUUGGGUUGGAACUCAUUAUUUUGCAUGUUUUCCUUUGGGCCGUUGGGUUUCGGAGUCCACCCCCUCCUCCUCGUGUGUUUUUGCUGGUAGGUAAUUGGGUUGGGUUGUCUAAAUCCUAAUUUUUGGAUUUUUAUGACAUGUUAAAGGACUUGUAGAGUUUAAGAUUGAUUUGGAUAUGCUUUUAAAAUUACUGAAGUUGUUUCGUGAAAUUGGUUUUCUGUUACAAAAACACCUGACAUGUGUUUCUUGCGGGAAGCACCUAAAAUGUUUUUUCAAGAUCCACUUGGAUUUGCACUAAGAAUUGAUUUCAAAAAUAUUUUUACAAAAAAUAGUUUAAAUCAUUUCAAAAGCACUUUCAAAUGAGUCUUUAAUCACUCAAAGCAACACUUGAGUAGUUCUUGAGAGGGGCCUCGUGGGGGUCUGAGUGCCUCUUAGGGCAUCGAGAGGGCUCAAGCAUUUGUGUUUUAACUUUCGCGUACGUGGUCCUAGAUUUCGACUCGAUACUUGAUGUGUUUGUCGGAUAUUGUCGUAGAUUAGCAUCUACUUCCAGAAACAACGGUAGAAAAUGGUGUUUAACAUCACCAUCUGGCAUGUGCGUUUGCGUUUGAAGGUUAUGUCGGAGUGGGAUCAUCUCCGGGAUCCCAACUUGCAGAGCCAACUGACCAAACGAUCUCAACCUUUCAAUUUCAUCUUAUCUUGUUUUGCGUGAUUUUUUUUUUGGAUAUUUAAAUUGAUUCUGGACCACAGGAUAAAAAAUGGAAGGAUGAGAUCUUUUGGUUAGUUGACUCCGUAGGCUGUGAUCCGGAGGUGAUCUCAGUCUCGUUAUGUCAACAGCAAAUUAAGACUUUUCUGUGCCAUAUGCCAAACAAGUUCAAAACAACAAGCCACUCUCGCUUAACAAUUCCGCCUUUAGGUUUAGGAAAAAAAAUACAAUUAUUUGAUAGGUAAUGUUAGGGAGACAUUUGGUUUAAUUAAUUAUUGAAUCAUUUGAUGUUAUGAAGGGCAAGAGAUGAGGAUUAUACGUUGUUGACGUGAGUUUAAGUUAGUUACGAUAUUGUUUUCUUUUUACCCAACUUCGAGUCAUGCUCUUAAUAAUAAAGAAUACACCGCUUUUGUAAAGAGAUUUUUCAAUAUGUUGGGAACACAGUUUGAUACACUAAAUAUAAUUAUACAAUUAGUCAUAAACUUGAAGAUAAAAAAAUUAUUACAUUUGACGUACCGAAACAUGUUUCUGUCACACUGAAAAAUUUCUCGCUGUGUCUUUAUGUUAGUAGUACUCGUACCAUCUAGGUUGUUUUUGUCUUUCAUACUUUGUCUCUCUUUUCUUGCACCAUGAAUCAAGGACAGUGUGGCAUGGACAUAUAGAUUUUCCCACAUGGGAAUUAAAAAUACAAGAUUCCUUUCCACCAAUAUAGGAUUCUAACAAAUGAUACUGAUUCCCUGAAUUUAAAUAAAAUUCAAAUUGAAGUUAAAUAUAUUAUUUUUUAUGCAAAUUCAAAUCCCGUCCCGCCGGGAUUAAGGUUUUAUAAUCCGACCUUUCUCACACACCGGGCUGGUUUCUGAAAACCCAGAAAAUGCCUCGACUCCAGAAAUUGUCAUUUGCUAUGCACUUCGUCCAAUCCCAGGGUCCUUGUCCGAUUUGACCCUUGCAAUUAGUCCCGGACAAAUAUCAUCCCGAGCUAAAUCCAUCUGCUAAUCACGAUCACAUGUCAGUUCGGGUUAGUUUGGUAUUGUUGUGUUUUAAAAAAAAAAAAUUGUUUCUGUUGUGCUGUAAAAAUAAUUAGCUGUAAAAUAAAGCAGUUGAGUGUUUAAUAAACUUGUAUUGUAAAAGUGCUUUUUUGUAGCAGUGUUCAAGUAUUUGGUAAAUUUUUAUGUAAAUCUGCUGAGAUUAUGUUAAAUGACUAAAAAGAUGUAAUAUUAAAUGUGACAUAAUAAUUUAUUUUAUUUUUAUUUAUAAUUUCAUCUUCAAUCUUCAUCAUUUAUCUUGAUUUUGUUUUUUAUUUAUUUAUAAUUUCAGCUUCCAUCUCUCUCGUUUAUCUUUGUUUUAUAUUUAUUUAUAUUUUUAUCUUCCAUCUCCAUCUCAAAUGGAAUCGUGCAAUUAAAAUGGGACCAAAGUCAUCUUCUUCCUCGUGCCCGACUAUGCAGAAGAAAAAAAAAUCCGAUUUUGACGUCUUCAUGUACGCCCGCCUAGCCCGUUCCCGGACCCGCAUACCUCCGCCUAGUCCUUCUUAGUCUCGCCCAAGCAUUCUGCUUUUUGAUUUUGUGGUUGAUUCAGAAGGGGUAGAUUAUCCGACGAGACCAGAGGGGCACUUGGGCUUCAUUUUCGAAGAGGGGAGGGGUGCGCCACCCCUCUUAUCCUUCUGUAGCUUCGCCUAUGCUCUAGCCCCCUGGAUCGCAAGCAUUUUGUCCCUAUAAUAGUUCCCGUAAAGCAUAAAUCUUCAGAAGUUCAUCCUCCCCAAUAACAUAAUCGCCAGCGGCCUUGAAUUCCUUGCGAAGCCGGACUCGACUCGUCCUCUCGAACAAUCGGAUUCGAAGAUCUGAUACGAUAAAGGAAGCGAGAAGGAGAAACGAAGAGGGUAUGAUUGGGUUUAAGAAAGUUUCAUUAAACUUUACUAUUCAUCCACCUGCUUUGAAAAAAAGCAGGUUUUGAGAAGCAGUAAAAUGUUGCUUCCAUUUUUCUGCUUAUUUUGGCUAAAACUUUGAAAAGAAGCGCUUAUUUUUAUAUUUAUCAAACACAUUUUACACUCCAACUUUUAUUCAUAGCUGUUUUUUUAUAAUUUCAGCCGUGCCAAACUGGUACUUCAUCACACUCUUUAUCCGUAAUUUCAUUGCUUUCCACUCUCCACUCAAAUCCCGCUUUUAGUAAAUUAGUUUAGUUUAAAAUAUCGCUCGAACAAAAAACAAAGCCGAGUUCCCAAAGUCCUUUUGGCUUUGGCAUCCAUAAAGGAAGAACUUUAUAAUCAAAUUCUCAAAAAGUCGUCAAAUUUAUCAUCUGGGAUAAGGAUUAUAUGGGUAUCGAAGGAGUGGAAGAAUCGGGAGGCACGGGGGUGCCCCUAUCGAAAUUCAGGUACAACUCGCCGUUUGUUCAAGUGAGUCUCAUCGGAUUGGUCUGUUUCUGCUGCCCUGGCAUGUUCAACGCCCUCUCCGGCAUGGGCGGCGGAGGCCAGGUCGACCCGACUGCCUCCAACAACGCCUCCACUGCCCUCUUCACCACCUUCGCCAUCUUCGGCAUCCUCGGUGGCGGCAUCUACAACAUCCUCGGCCCCCGCCUUACACUCCUCUCCGCCUGCUCCACCUACGUCCUCUACGCCGGCUCAUUCCUCUACUACAACCACCACAAGCACCAGGCUUUCGCUAUUGUCGCCGGAGCAAUCCUCGGAAUCGGCGCCGGCAUCCUCUGGGCCGGCCAAGGUUCCAUCAUGACGUCGUACCCUCCCUCGAAUCGAAAGGGGACAUACAUCUCGAUUUUCUGGAGCAUUUACAAUAUGGGUGGCGUCAUCGGAGGACUAAUUCCGUUUGUUCUUAACUACCACCGGAGCCAAGCGGCUUCCGUCAACGAUGCAACUUACAUUGGGUUCAUGAUUUUCAUGUCCAUCGGGACUCUUUUAUCCCUCGCUAUCCUGCCCCCCAGCAAAAUUGUCCGGGAUGACGGGACUAAAUGUACGGACAUUCAGUACUCAAACGUCACAACUGAGGCCAUUGAGAUUGCCAAGCUGUUCACAAACUGGAAAAUGCUUCUUAUAAUCCCGGCUGCUUGGUCGAGCAUUUUUUUCUACACCUACCUAUUCAACAACGUCAAUAAAGUUAUGUUUAAUAUGAGGACUAGAGGAUUGAACAAUGUGUUCUACUGGGGAGCGGAGAUUUUCGGGUCCAUUGGGAUUGGAUACGUUAUGGAUUUCAGCUUCAAGAGCAGGAGGACUAGGGGUUUCGUGGGCAUUUCGGUUGUUGGUGUCCUCGGGACUGCAAUUUGGAUUGGCGGACUUGCCAACCAACUCAACUACUCUCGAAGCGAUUUGCCUGAGAAGUUGGAUUUUAAGGACUCCGGCUCUGCUUUCGCAGGACCGUUCGUGUUGUAUUUUAGUUUCGGGUUGCUUGAUGCCAUAUUCCAGAGAAUGGUUUUCUGGGUCAUUGGAGCCUUGGCUGAUAACUCUGAAAUUCUAAGCAGGUAAUAGAAUAUUCCUUGCUUCCCAAGUCUUUAACCUUUCAAUGAUCUUUGUGCGUUUGGGCAAUUUUUCGUGUGCAGGACUGGACAAUCCAAUCCAAUCCUGCGCACGAAAUGUGGACUUAGUGGCAUUCACAGAACAAUGUGUGAUUCUAAAAAUUUAUUUAAUUUUGUGCAUGUUUUGUACAGGUAUGUUGGAUUCUACAUGGGAAUACAGAGUGCAGGGUCAGCAGUAGCUUGGCAAGUCGAUGCGCACAAGGCAUCCUUCCUCUCCCAAUUGGUUACGAAUUUCACGCUUUACACCGUGAGUUAUCCGCUGCUGGUGGUUCUGAUCUUGCUGGCCGUGAAGGAUGAAGGUAAGGCUGAUGUGGAGGAAUUUACCAAGGGGAAGGUUGCUGAAUUUACCGAGGAGAAGUUGCUGAGCCUGCAGCCUCAGAGAAGUGAUCGUAAUGAUCGUCGGCUUAAUUAGCAGAUGAAAUUAGUCAUAAGCCAUCCAAAUGUUUGUCUUAAUUACGUCCAUACAAUCGAAUCUUCACGAAUUAUUGUAAUGGAAAUGCCAGUAUAAUUGAUGUAGCACGUUCAAAUUGUCAAAAAAUUUACAGAGUAAUCAAAGUUCAUGUUUUGAUAAAAUGUCUGAAUGACUAGUUCUUGACCACGAUUGUCCAUUAUAUUCAUGGAUGCUUGGAAGGAAUACUGAGAGAGUCUUCUACUCAUCGAGGAACCUUCAUGUCAAACCCUAGCUAGUGAUAGAGCCAGAUGAUAUUUGACGUGAUUUUCCUAUGAUCUCUCGAGCCUUGAGUAUUUACAAAUGCUUGGUUAACAAUCCUUCCACCCUUGGACCAACUGGAGGCACGCACAGUGAUGAUGCUUCCUCAGAAGGAUCUCAUCAUGGUGUUUGAAUGAUCGAGGAAACAACUAAGCAAGAUAAUGCAAAGGAAUCAUGGUUUUUGCUUCAGAACCGCAAGAAAGGAGCAUAGAGUUUGAUAUCUCAUAGUUGUUUGCCAAUUCAAUCAGUUAUUGGGUUCUUUCGCACCAGACAUUUUUCAUCGGAGGAUGCUUUCGUUGUUGUUUUAGCCAGAAGGUAAGACGCGUCCACUCAAUAUGAGCAAUAGAUCAGGUUUCCUUUGCCCGUUGGAUUUCGGAGGCCACCCUACUCGUAGUGUGUAUUUGCUGGUAUGUGAUUGAGUUGGGCUGUCUAAAUCCUAAUUAGUGUUUUUUAUGACAUGUUAAAAGCCUUCUGGAGUUUUAACCACUCGAGCAAGGCUCGAGCAGUCCUUGUGAGGCCUCGGUGGGGGUCCAAGUACCGCUUGAAGGGGCCUCGACAGGACUCGAGCAUUGCUCUAGAUUAUCUUGACGGGUUUUCGUCAUAUUGUUAAACGUCUUUUAGUAAGGAAGCGUCGUAAUCGUGGAGCAAUAAUGUGUUUGACUUUCGGAUACAUGGUCCGAGAUUUCGAUUUGAUACUUGAUGUGUUCGUUGGAUCUUGUUGCAGAUUAGGAUCUACUUCCAAAAACUACAGUAGAAAAUGGUGUAGAGCCAAAGUCUAUAAUCUUGAAACGUAGGUCAUCCCUUUAUCCUUUCCACAACCCUAUUGCUGGUGGUCCGUUCUUGGACCACCAUAAGUACCGAUGAAAAGUCAAUCACGUCUUGUUAAAAUUUUCACAAUUGAUUUGGAAUAUUAAUAUAGUGAUAUUCUCGGCAUAUGUAACGUUUAAGUCAUCAUGAUAUUGUGUCUGUAUCUUAAGUCAGUCGCACAACAGUAAUAAUUGAACUCUGAACAAGAUUAUAAAAGUUGCUUGAGUAAUGAACUUAUUAAACAAAAACUCAUUCAUUUAGGAGACCGAGUUUACAAUUGUCGAAUGUUUUUUUUUUUUCCACAAACCAACAAAAACAAUAUCUUCCUCUCAAGAACGCUCGAUAACUCCCUAUUGAAAUGAGUUUUUAAUCCUUUUAUUUUCUUUAAAAUGAGACUAAUUAGUGGUUUCGUCAUGACAAUUUACUUUUUAUAGACCGAAAAAAUCCGCAGAAUAUAUUGAAAUGAGUUUUUGGUCGAUCAGGAAUUGCAGCCGCCCGACUUGCCGUUUAAUGAGCUAAUAAUGCCAAAAUGCUUUAACGUCACUUGGUGCGCUUGCGUUUGAAGAGUUUGUCGAUGUCAACAGCAAACUUAGACUUUUCUGUGAAGUAUGCCAAACAAGUUGAAAACAACAUAUAGCCACUCUUAAUUUACAAUUUCUCCCUCACGCUUGGGAAGGAAAAUACAAUUACUUGAUUAUCUGCGCCUGCAUAAUCAUAUUAGACAAACCAAGUUUAAUUAGUUACUGAAUUAUUUGAUGUUACGGAAAACAGAAGAUUAUACGUUGCAGACAUGAGCUUAAGUUGGUUAACAUAUUGUUUCCGUUUUUUACCCAACUUCAAGUCAUGCUCUUAAUAAUAAACAAUACAUCGUUAUUAUGAGGAGAUUUUUCAGUUGUCGGAAACACGACCUGAUACACUAAUAAAAUAAAAUUGUACCUAAUAUUUUAUCCGUACGUCUUUAUUUCUUUAAAUCUCAUACCAUCGAAGUUGUUUUCGAUCUUCACACUUUAUCUCUCUUUUCUUGGACCCUGAAUCAAGGACGGUUUGGCAUGGACAUAUACUCAUAUGCCCAUUCCAACUUGGGAAUUGAAAUACAAGAUUCCCUUCCACCCCUAAUCUAACGAAUGAUUAAAAAUUUGAAACUGUGAUUUUUUUAUGCAUAUUCAUAUCCCAUCCCGUCAGGAUUAGGGAUUUAUAAUCUGACUUUUCUCAGCAUCAUUCUCACACGCCCCGCUGGACUCUGAAAACCCAGACAAAGCCUGGACUCCAUAAAUUGUCAUUUGCUAUGCAUUCUUUGUCCAAUCCAAGGGUCCUUGUCCGUUUUGACCCUUGCAAUUGGUCCCGGACUAUAUCGUCCCGAGCUAAAUCCUUCUGCUAAUCACAACCACAUAAGUUCAUCCUUUCGAUUCUCCACCAAAUCCCCGUAAAUUAGAUUAGUUUAGAAUAUCGCUCGAUAAAAAGUUCGGAUCCCAGUUCCAUUUGGCAUUCAAAGGGAGGAACUUUGUGAUUAAAAUCACACAGAAGUCGUAAAAUUUAUCACCUGGGAUUCGAUGGUUUCCGAAGGAGUGGAAGAAUCGGGAGGCACGGAGGUGCCCCAGUCGAAAUUCAGGUACAACUCGCCGUUUGUCCAAGUGAGUUUGAUCGGAUUGGUCUGUUUCUGCUGCCCUGGCAUGUUCAUGGCCCUCUCUGGCAUGGGCGGCGGAGGCCAGGUCGACCCGACUGCCUCCAACAACGCCUCCACCGCCCUCUAUACCACCUUCGCCGUCUUCGGAAUUCUCGGCGGCGGCAUCUACAACAUCCUCGGCCCCCGCCUCACUCUCCUCUCCGCCUGCCCCACCUACGUCCUCUACGCCGGCUCAUUCCUCUACUACAACCACCACAAGCACCAGGCUUUCGCUAUUGUCGCCGGAGUAAUCCUCGGAAUCGGCGCCGGCCUCCUCUGGGCAGGCCAAGGCGCCAUCAUGACGUCAUACCCUCCCCCGAACCGAAAGGGGACAUACAUCUCGAUUUUCUGGAGCAUUUUCAACAUGGGUGGCGUCAUCGGUGGACUAAUUCCCUUCGUUCUUAAUUACCACCGGAGCGAAGCGGCUUCCGUCAACGAUGCAACUUACAUUGGGAUAAUGAUUUUCAUGUCCAUCGGGACUCUUUUAUCCCUCUCUAUCCUGCCCGCCAGCAAAGUUGUCCGGGACGACGGGACUAAAUGUACGGACAUUCAGUACUCAAAUGUCACAACUGAGGCCAUUGAGAUUGCCAAGCUGUUUACGAAUUGGAAAAUGCUUCUUAUAAUCCCGGCUGCUUGGUCGGGCAAUUUUUUCUACACCUACCAGUUCAACAACGUCAACCAAAUUAUGUUUAAUCUGAGGACGAGAGGAUUGAACAAUGUGUUCUACUGGGGAGCGCAGAUGUUGGGGUCCAUCGGGAUUGGAUACGUUAUGGAUUUCAGCUUCAAGAGCAGGAGGACGAGGGGUUUCGCUGGCAUUUCAGUAGUUGGUGUUCUCGGGACUACAAUUUGGAUUGGCGGACUUGUCAACCAGCUCAACUACUCUCGCAGUGAUUUGCCUGAGAAGUUGGAUUUUAAGGACUCCGGCUCUGCUUUCGCAGGACCCUUCGUGUUGUAUUUUAGUUUCGGACUGCUUGAUGCCAUGUUCCAGAGCAUGAUUUACUGGGUCAUUGGAGCCUUGGCUGAUAACUCUGAAAUUCU
RNAcentral lists this long non-coding RNA (14994 nucleotides) under Malus domestica (apple). Its description in RNAcentral is "long non-coding RNA (MDOM_LNC001257)". Lineage: Eukaryota; Viridiplantae; Streptophyta; Magnoliopsida; Rosales; Rosaceae. The record is from RNAcentral.